RNAcentral lists this ribosomal RNA (446 nucleotides) under uncultured bacterium. Its description in RNAcentral is "partial 16S ribosomal RNA". It matches the Rfam family "Bacterial small subunit ribosomal RNA", at positions 338 to 795 of the family's 1533-position model. The record is from RNAcentral.
CCUACGGGUGGCUGCAGUAGGGAAUUUUCGGCAAUGGGGGGAACCCUGACCGAGCAACGCCGCGUGAACGAAGAAGUUAUUCGUAAUGUAAAGCUCUUUUAACAGGGAAGAAAGAGAAAUUUGACGGUACCUGAAGAAUAAGCUCCGGCUAACUACGUGCCAGCAGCCGCGGUAAUACGUAGGGAGCGAGCGUUAUCCGGAAUUAUUGGGUUUAAAGGGUGCGUAGGCGGGCAUUUAAGCCGGCGGUCAAAUGUCGGGGCUCAACCCCGGCCUGCCGUCGGAACUGGGUGCCUUGAGUGGGCGAGAGGUAUGCGGAAUGCGUGGUGUAGCGGUGAAAUGCAUAGAUAUCACGCAGAACCCCGAUUGCGAAGGCAGCAUACCGGCGCCCUACUGACGCUGAGGCACGAAAGUGCGGGUAUCGAACAGGAUUAGAUACCCGAGUAGUC